Molecule: long non-coding RNA, 420 nt
Filed under: Erythranthe guttata (spotted monkey flower)
Lineage: Eukaryota; Viridiplantae; Streptophyta; Magnoliopsida; Lamiales; Phrymaceae
Description: long non-coding RNA (EGUT_LNC001896)
Source: RNAcentral
UAUGCAAUGAUUAUUUUCAUAUGUAUUUUCGAUUUCCUUCACCAUUAAUCUAUAUUUUACGGUUAUUUUACCGAUCUAAUAAACCUGCAUUGAGUACUGAUACCAUUUUUUAGUUUUGAUUUUUUGUCAUGGGUGCGUGUUUAUUUUAUCGAUUAAAAAAUUAAAACUGAUUCUUUGGUGUGUUUUUCCUUAAAUCUGCCAUAGGAGUGGAGAUACAAGGCUAGUCGGCAGAGGUUGUAUGGAUUUGGUUUCAUGUGUAAGAUCUCUAAUAUAUAUGGCUAUGUGGGUAAAUAAAUAUAUUCACUUGUUUGUAUUCGAUUUAGGAGAGUUUAAGUUUUCUCCACCGAUUGUGCAGGAAAAGUGCGGGCCUUAUCUCAAGGUAAAGUUCGAGAUAUCCUCAGAACACAUUCUCAUGUGUGG